UGUGUGUGUGUGUGUGUGUGUGUGUGUGACCUUAGAUACACAGAUCACACACACACACACACACACACAUACU
Molecule: microRNA precursor, 73 nt
Filed under: Marmota monax (woodchuck)
Lineage: Eukaryota; Metazoa; Chordata; Mammalia; Rodentia; Sciuridae
Source: RNAcentral